UUAAAUUGAAGAGUUUGAUCAUGGCUCAGAUUGAACGCUGGCGGUAGGCCUAACACAUGCAAGUCGAACGGUAACAGGAAGCAGCUUGCUGCUU
RNAcentral lists this ribosomal RNA (94 nucleotides) under Salmonella enterica subsp. enterica serovar Virchow. Its description in RNAcentral is "partial 16S ribosomal RNA". It matches the Rfam family "Bacterial small subunit ribosomal RNA", at positions 1 to 88 of the family's 1533-position model. Lineage: Bacteria; Pseudomonadati; Pseudomonadota; Gammaproteobacteria; Enterobacterales; Enterobacteriaceae. The record is from RNAcentral.